RNAcentral lists this ribosomal RNA (253 nucleotides) under uncultured bacterium. Its description in RNAcentral is "partial 16S ribosomal RNA". It matches the Rfam family "Bacterial small subunit ribosomal RNA", at positions 524 to 776 of the family's 1533-position model. The record is from RNAcentral.
GACGUAGGGCGCGAGCGUUGUCCGGAUUUAUUGGGCGUAAAGAGCUCGUAGGCGGUUUUGCAAGUCGGGUGUGAAAGCCCUCGGCUCAACCGAGGAAGUGCGCCCGAAACUGCAGAGCUUGAGUACCGGAGAGGAUGGCGGAAUUCCCCAAGUAGAGGUGAAAUUCGUAGAUAUGGGGAGGAACACCGGUGGCGAAGGCGGCCAUCUGGACGGAUACUGACGCUGAGACGCGAAAGCGUGGGGAGCAAACAGG